This 266-nucleotide ribosomal RNA is filed under the name uncultured Eubacteriales bacterium. RNAcentral describes it as "uncultured Clostridiales bacterium partial 16S ribosomal RNA". It matches the Rfam family "Bacterial small subunit ribosomal RNA", at positions 72 to 339 of the family's 1533-position model. The record is from RNAcentral. Lineage: Bacteria; Bacillati; Bacillota; Clostridia; Eubacteriales.
UAGCUUGCUAUGAGCUGUUUUAGCGGCGGACGGGUGAGUAACGCGUGAGCAAUCUGUCCCAGACAGGGGGAUAACAGAUGGAAACAUCUGCUAAUACCGCAUAAGACCACAGCACCGCAUGGUGCGGGGGUAAAAACUCCGGUGGUAUGAGAUGGACCCGCGUCUGAUUAGCUGGUUGGUGGGGUAACGGCCCACCAAGGCGACGAUCAGUAGCCGGUCUGAGAGGAUGAACGGCCACACUGGAACUGAGACACGGUCCAGACUCC